GGAGAGGUCGCAUAGUGGUCGAGUGCACGCGCUUGGAAAGCGCGCAGGGCGAAAGCUCUCGCGGGUUCGAAUCCCGCUCUCUCCGCCA
RNAcentral lists this transfer RNA (88 nucleotides) under Candidatus Microgenomates bacterium. RNAcentral describes it as "tRNA-Ser". It matches the Rfam family "tRNA". Rfam says of the family: Transfer RNA (tRNA) molecules are approximately 80 nucleotides in length. Their secondary structure includes four short double-helical elements and three loops (D, anti-codon, and T loops). Lineage: Bacteria; Candidatus Microgenomatota. The record is from RNAcentral.